AUUGAACGCUGGCGGCAGGCCUAACACAUGCAAGUCGAACGGUAGCACAGAGAGCUUGCUCUCGGGUGACGAGUGGCGGACGGGUGAGUAACGUCUGGGGAUCUGCCCGAUAGAGGGGGAUAACCACUGGAAACGGUGGCUAAUACCGCAUAAUGUCGCAAGACCAAAGAGGGGGACCUUCGGGCCUCGCACUAUCGGAUGAACCCAGAUGGGAUUAGCUAGUAGGCGGGGUAACGGCCCACCUAGGCGACGAUCCCUAGCUGGUCGGAGAAGAUGACCAGCCACACUGGAACUGAGACACGGUCCGGACUCCUACGGGAGGCAGCAGUGGGGAAUAAUGCACAAUGGGCGCAAGCCUGAUGCAGCCACGCCGCGUGUAUGAAGAAGGCCUUCGUGUUGUAAAGUACUUUCAGCGGGGAGGAAGGCGAUGUGGUUAAUAACCGCGUCGAUUGACGUUACCCGCAGAAGAAGCACCGGCUAACUCCGUGCCAGCCGCCGCGGUAA
This 504-nucleotide ribosomal RNA is filed under the name uncultured bacterium. RNAcentral's name for it is "partial 16S ribosomal RNA". It matches the Rfam family "Bacterial small subunit ribosomal RNA", at positions 29 to 523 of the family's 1533-position model. The record is from RNAcentral.